ACGGAAGGCAGCAGUGAGGAAUAUUGGUCAAUGGGCGAGAGCCUGAACCAGCCAAGUAGCGUGAAGGAUGACUGCCCUAUGGGUUGUAAACUUCUUUUGUUCGGGAAUAAAGGAGCCUACGCGUAGGCUUUUGCAUGUACCGUUCGAAUAAGCAUCGGCUAAUUCCGUGCCAGCAGCCGCGGUAAUACGGAAGAUGCGAGCGUUAUCCGGAUUUAUUGGGUUUAAAGGGAGCGUAGGCGGCCUUUUAAGUCAGCGGUCAAAUGUCAGCGCCCAACGCUGGCCUGCCGUUGAUACUGAUGGGCUUGAAUACACACAAGGAAGGUGGAAUUCGUCGUGUAGCGGUGAAAUGCUUAGAUAUGACGAAGAACUCCGAUUGGGAAGCCAGCUUACUGUAGCGCCACUGACGCUGAUGCUCGAAAGCGUGGGUAUCGAACAGGAUUAGAUACCCUGGUA
RNAcentral lists this ribosomal RNA (453 nucleotides) under uncultured Paraprevotella sp. Its description in RNAcentral is "partial 16S ribosomal RNA". It matches the Rfam family "Bacterial small subunit ribosomal RNA", at positions 341 to 792 of the family's 1533-position model. The record is from RNAcentral. Lineage: Bacteria; Pseudomonadati; Bacteroidota; Bacteroidia; Bacteroidales; Prevotellaceae.